Molecule: long non-coding RNA, 1009 nt
Filed under: Equus asinus (donkey)
Lineage: Eukaryota; Metazoa; Chordata; Mammalia; Perissodactyla; Equidae
Description: lncRNA (ENSEASG00005033204.1)
Source: RNAcentral
UAGAGCCAUCACCCAAAUUACAUGGACUUCAAAGAAAGCAGACCUGGAUGCAAAAUUCCACUUCUCUUACUUCCCAGUCACACGACCACAGAUCUGGAGGCUGGAAGUCCAAGAUCAAGGUGCCAGCGGGAUGGUUUCUGACGUGUAUGAACAAGCUCAAACCAGCCUCUCCAGAGUGAACAAAAGGAAAGGAAAGGGGAACAAAGAAGUGAGGAGAACAACUGUUUCUGUUUGCUUAACAGCCGGAAGACUGGCCCUGAGCCAACAUCCGUGUCCAUCUUCCUCCACCUUAUAUGUGGGACACCUGCCACAGCAUGGCUUGUCAAGUGAUGCCAUGUCUGUACCCGGGAUCCGAACCGGCAAACCCCGGGCCACUGAAGCAGAACGUGCGCACUUAACCGCUGCGCCACAAGGCCAGCCCCCUGGUGACUUUUAAUUACGGCCAAGGCUGACCUUGAGCAGAGGAGAGAAGGCUGCCAUCCGUGCAGCCUGUUUUCGUGGACUUAAGGAACUUCCUGCUUGGUCAUUUAUAUCCUUUCCCUGAUACAGCUUGCUACAUACAGACCCCAACUUCUGGAAUUAGAGGUUGAUUCCUUUGGCUCGAGCCCAGGGUUAAAUUGCAGCUACCUCUGGGGUGGGUUGUUUAGUAAACCUUAGAAGUGCUUUACACCUGCGUGUAUAUACUCCUCAGAUCAAGUCUCUAGAGCAUUGUCUGAUAGAGAAAGGGGCAGGAGGAAUCUGACCGUGAGCAGGGCACAGGGUUUGCCAGGACAGAGCAAACUUACUCAUUUUAUCCAAAACACCUGGUCUGAUCCUGACCGUAACCCACUUGUCAGAUCACACUCGAGGCAUAGAGGACAAUGCAAGCACUUGAUUUAAAUCAUUAGAUCCAGCUUCCUCCUCCUCACAUUUCGCUGUUGACGAGCAACACUUCUAGCCAGAACUAAAUGUCUACAGUCUUGUCUUUCUUGGCCACCCGUGUGUAUUAAGUACAAAGAAACCAUAAAAU